RNAcentral lists this long non-coding RNA (2371 nucleotides) under Homo sapiens (human). Its description in RNAcentral is "HSALNT0286877". The stretch from base 101 to 161 matches the Rfam family "U7 small nuclear RNA". The record is from RNAcentral. Lineage: Eukaryota; Metazoa; Chordata; Mammalia; Primates; Hominidae.
UAGCAGUCUACUCUCUAACAAGCCCACCAGAGAGACAUCUGUAAUCCUGCUGAUGCUCAUGUGCUGAAAACUAUGACCGUACUCAAUAAAGAAGGAGACACAGUGUUACAGCUCUUUUGGAAUUAGUCUAGCAGAUUUCUCAGUUUUCACUGGAAACCCUUAAAAAGGUAGAGGAGAGAGAGGUGCGUGGAAGAGUGAGCACAAGAAAGGAGGCAUCUUACAGUUUAUAAACAUCUGAACACUGGAGCUCUAUCAAGAUUCUGUUUCAAUCUCUAUUUGACCACAUACGUGCUCUUUCAAAGUUCUGUGUUUGAAGUUAUGUUAGUAACAACUGAUGCCCAUCCUGCAAUGACAAAUCCAAUUCUCAGUGCAGCUCUCUGAAAUAGUUUUGCUUUCUCUCUCUAGGUCUGUUCUAUACUCCUAACUCUCCAGGAGUUUACAAGGAAUAAAAUCUCUUCCAAAAGCUUUCUGUUGCAACAACUGGACCAUACUGAAAGCUGAGGCCCACAAUUGCAAUCUAGGUUAGCAGGUAAUCAUUGUUGGUGAGGUCCUCCCUUUCCCCAGGCUCGUGUUUGUAUUGGGGAGCAGGAAAUUUUUGCUAGAGCAGCACUGCCAUCUCUCUACACUCCACCUGAUUGGUGGGAUGGACCAGAGAAAUGGACAUUCCCAACACAGUCCCUCCUUUCACAUCUGCUCACCUGCCCACAGGAUACUUUCCACCAUGCAUACUGGGCUCUGCACCAACGAUUCAGCAGUGAUGAAGAGGAAACUUGAACCCUUCUCUCCAGGAGCUGACACCAUUUAGUGAGGAGCCAGACAAAUAAAUAAAGAAGGAAAUGCCAUUAAACGUACAGGAUGACUAUCACAGUGGGGGAAUAAUUUGGACCUGGAAAAUUUCCUGUGAGGACUCAAGGAGCACAUGGCCUGCUGAAAUCCAUGAACUACUAGACUGCCUCUAUUCACCUGAUGUCCUGCUUUUCACCCAGCCUCUUCACCGCAGCCUUUAUGAUGGAGAAUAGAGGAGGAGGAGGGACACAGAGCCUCUUCUAACUCCAGCCACAUUUACCUGGGCCUUGUUUCUAGGCAGUGGAAAGCCAGGAAGGAGAGUCAAGAAAGGUACAGAUGAGUCAUCAAUUCCCUUUGUGCUGCUAGAACAAGUGUCAGAGGGAAGCCAUGUACCUGUCUGCCCAUUGACACUCAGACAACCAUUGUACUAUAAGAAGCACUUGGCUGCCUGACAAAGAAUGGAAAAUAAACAUGGCAAGGCCAAGAUGUCCAAGAUGAGUCAACUGGGCAGUGGUGGCAGGAGAGCAACAAUGAAGAGUCCUAGCGUUUUGCACAGCUUGAAUAUUGAAUUGAACCCUGCAGUAUGCUGGGCCCCAGGGAUGCAGAGAUGACGCACUGCAUGCCCUGCCUUGGAGAAGAAGUCAAGUGGUGAAACCAGGCAAGUGCCAUGCCAUUAGAGUGCCCUGUGGUCAAGAUGUACUCCAAAAGGAUCUGAGACUAAAUAUCAGUGUGUGAGCAGCUCUACUUCCUACUGGAGGCACAAGCUGGUUCCUAAAGGAUGACAAGGCACUUGCCCAGGGCAAAGGCCUUGAAAUAGGUGGCCAGCAAGUGACAACUGGGUCAUGGCAACCCAAAUGUGUCCAGAUGCCAGGAGAGGCUUAGUCAAAUACAAGUCGGCAUACAAAUUGAGUGUCCUCUUUGAAGCUUAGAGCAGUUGAGCAGUUAGGGUAAAUCUUCUUAACUUGAGGCAUGCAAGGCCCUACAGAUCCCCUCUCCUCGCAUCUGGCUCCAGUCACCCUUUCCAACCUCAUUGCCAUUACUGGCUCCUAUCCUACCCUCUACCCACUUCACUAAACACACCCUGUAUUUUCCUGCCUUUGUGCCUUUCCAGGUACAGUCUGAUCACCCAGAGUCCUCUUCUCCAUCUCUGCCUCUGGUAGAGUCCAGUCAAUCAAUUAAGGUCAAAUUCCUCCUCCAAUAGACCCGACCCUUGGGGCAUAUCCACCAUCUCUACCCACAUGCCACCAGAAAGAAUCAAUCUCUCCUUCCCUUUUGUGCCCAGAACACUUAGUACCUCUGUUAAGAACUUGACACAACCUGCCUUGUGUAGCCAAAUGGUUAAGAACACAAGCUGUGGUUUCAAGAGAGCAGACUUAGAAACACCACCUGUGUGACCUCGGGUAAAUUUACUAACCAUUCGAGCCCUCAGUGUCAUGAUCUGUAUAAUGAGAAUGAUAAUAGUGUCUACUUACUGGAGUUAUUUUUAGGAUUAUAUGAGAUAAUGCAUCUAAAGCAUAGUGCCUGACACAUAAUAAGCAUUCAAUAAAUUGUAGCUCAUUUUGUUAUAUGGCCAUGUUGUCCCCAA